Long non-coding RNA from Corvus hawaiiensis (hawaiian crow), 121 nucleotides. RefSeq lists it as uncharacterized. NCBI's taxonomy places the organism in Eukaryota, Metazoa, Chordata, Aves, Passeriformes, Corvidae. The transcript has 4 exons. The record is from RefSeq and is a predicted model, not a curated record.
CAUGCAGCCUGCUUCAGGCACUGGAAGGUGCUGUAAGGCCUCCCCAGAGCCUCCUCUUCUCCAGGCUGAACAGCUACAGCUCUCUCAGUCUGUCUUCACAGGAGAGGUGCUCCAGCCAUCU